AUGCUCACAAAGGCGCAGUGGAUCGCCCUUGAAAAGCAAGGCGGAUCCACAAGGAGCAGCAAGAAGAAGGGCAAGCAGCGCUCGACGAGAAAGAACUUCGCUGACUCAGAUGACGACUCAGACAAUGGGGCUGCACCGCCACCGAGGAGAAAGUUUGACAUCAAGAAAAUGAGGUGUUAUAACUGUGGCCUCCUCGGUCACUUCAAGGCUGACUGCGAGGAAGCACCGACGCAGAAGGCGCUCAUGGCCCAGCAAGGAGAUGAUGGUGACAUGAUGUUGAUGAGCGAACUUGUGGACGAGGAGGACCCAGUUCUUCAAGUGUCGGCUAAGGAAAUUGUCGCGCUCCCUGAAGAAAAGAUUCACUCUCAAGAUCAUGGUUCGGAAACUCGUGUCGAUACUGCGGACGCGGGGGGUGAUUCCGAAGCUUACAUCGAUGUUACGGGCAUAAGUGCUAACUUCGCUGGAGUGGAUGCAGCGAUUGCCGCGUGUGCUCGGCCGUGGAGAAGCAGCCUUGUUACAGAUCUGAGAAACACGAAUGUCACUUCGGUGUACGUGGCACCUGAAGAGCACGAAUCAAAGUAUGCUGAUGUUGAGGUGAACAAGUACGCAGCGAUUAUGUCAAUGGAAGAUAGUGCAUCCGGUCGUGCGGCUAGCUCGUGUGUAUUGGAUGCUAGUGCAAGUAGUAUCCCACGAAGAAAUAUGGGAGCAUCUUGCGUUGGGCCAAUAACGAGCAGGCCAGAGAGAGGCAAUAGUAGUGAUGGCUGUUGCAGCCCACGUACGGGCAAUAGUAGUACGUGGACGCGAGCAGGUGGCCGAGACGAGAUGCGAUGGUGUGGUCGGUGCAGCGUGGAUGGCUAG
Molecule: ribosomal RNA, 858 nt
Filed under: Triticum aestivum (bread wheat)
Lineage: Eukaryota; Viridiplantae; Streptophyta; Magnoliopsida; Poales; Poaceae
Description: partial small subunit ribosomal RNA
Source: RNAcentral